Molecule: ribosomal RNA, 520 nt
Filed under: Carabus galicianus galicianus
Lineage: Eukaryota; Metazoa; Arthropoda; Insecta; Coleoptera; Carabidae
Description: partial 16S ribosomal RNA
Rfam family: Bacterial large subunit ribosomal RNA
Source: RNAcentral
GUCCUUUUGAAUUUUAUUUAAGGUCUAGUCUGCCCACUGAAUUUAAUUUUUUAAAUGGCCGCAGUAUUUUGACUGUGCAAAGGUAGCAUAAUCAUUAGUUUUUUAAUUAAAAGCUUGUAUGAAAGGCUGGACGAGGUAAGAUCUGUCUCUAUUUAAAUUAUAGUAGAAUUUAACUUUUAAGUUAAAAGGCUUAAAUAUUAUUAAAAGACGAGAAGACCCUAUAGAUCUUUAUAAUUUAUUGGAUAAAAUUAAUUUAGAAUUAUUUAUGUUUUAUUUAUUAAAUUAUUUUAUUGGGGUAAUAGAAAGAUUGAAUUAAUUCUUUUUUAUUAUAGACAUUGAUUUAUGAAUUUAAAUGAUCCAGUUUUACUGAUUAUAAGAUUAAGUUACCUUAGGGAUAACAGCGUAAUUUUUUUAGAGAGUUCAUAUCGAUAAAAAAGUUUGCGACCUCGAUGUUGGAUUAAAGAUUAUUUUAGGUGCAGAAGCUUAAUAAUUUUGGUCUGUUCGACCAUUAAAUCUUUAC